RNAcentral lists this ribosomal RNA (550 nucleotides) under uncultured eukaryote. RNAcentral describes it as "eukaryotic LSU rRNA". It matches the Rfam family "Eukaryotic large subunit ribosomal RNA", at positions 848 to 1390 of the family's 3401-position model. The record is from RNAcentral.
CAAGUCAGAGGAAACUCUGAUGGAGGCGUCGAAGGGGUUCUGACGUGCAAAUCGAUCUCAAACUUGGGUAUAGGGGCGAAAGACUAAUCGAACCAUCUAGUAGCUGGUCCCUCCGAAGUUUCCCUCAGGAUAGCUGGAACUUAUGAAAAAGUAGUUUAUCAGGUAAAGCGAAUGAUUAGAGGCUUUGGGGAAGAAACUUCCUCGACCUAUUCUCAAAACUUUAAAUAGGUAAGAUUUGAAGGAUACUUAAGUGAUCUUUCAAUCUCUUGAAUAUAAAGUUCUUAGUGGGCCAUUUUUGGUAAGCAGAACUGGCGAUGUGGGAUGAACCGAACGUUAAGUUAAAGUGCCAAAUAAUACGCUCAUGAGAUACCAUAAAAGGUGUUGGUUCAUUUUGACAGCAGGACGGUGGCCAUGGAAGUCGGAACCCGCUAAGGAGUGUGUAACAACUCACCUGCCGAAUGAACUAGCCCUGAAAAUGGAUGGCGCUUAAGCGUAUAACUUAUACUUAACCCUUACUUGAAUUAUUAUAGCGAGUAAGGAGUAGGAGGGC